This 90-nucleotide transfer RNA is filed under the name Puniceicoccales bacterium. Its description in RNAcentral is "tRNA-Ser". It matches the Rfam family "tRNA". Rfam says of the family: Transfer RNA (tRNA) molecules are approximately 80 nucleotides in length. Their secondary structure includes four short double-helical elements and three loops (D, anti-codon, and T loops). Lineage: Bacteria; Pseudomonadati; Verrucomicrobiota; Opitutia; Puniceicoccales. The record is from RNAcentral.
GGAGAGAUGGCAGAGUGGUUUAUUGCGUCGGUCUUGAAAACCGAAGUGCUGGCAACGGCACCGUGGGUUCGAAUCCCUCUCUCUCCGCCA